This 346-nucleotide ribosomal RNA is filed under the name uncultured bacterium. RNAcentral describes it as "partial 16S ribosomal RNA". It matches the Rfam family "Bacterial small subunit ribosomal RNA", at positions 338 to 681 of the family's 1533-position model. The record is from RNAcentral.
CCUACGGGUGGCAGCAGUGAGGAAUAUUGGUCAAUGGGCGCGAGCCUGAACCAGCCAAGUCGCGUGAGGGAAGACGGCCCUACGGGUUGUAAACCUCUUUUGCCGGGGAGCAAAGGGCGGCACGUGUGGCGCCACGGAGAGUACCCGGAGAAAAAGAAGCGGCUAACUCCGUGCAAGCAGCCGCGGUAAUACGGAGGAUGCGAGCGUUAUCCGGAUUUAUGGGGUUGAAAGGGUGCGUAGGCGGAGCGUUAAGUCAGGGGUCAAAUUUAGGGGCUCAACCCCUUCCCGCCAUUGAAACUGGCGCUCUUGAGUGGACGAGAAGUAUGCGGAAUGCGUGGUGUAGCGG